ACGAACGCUGGCGGCGUGCUUAACCCCUGCAAGUCGCACGGAAAGGCCCUGCUUUUGUGGGGUGCUCGAGUGGCGAACGGGUGAGUAACACGUGAGUAACCUGCCCUUGACUUUGGGAUAACUUCAGGAAACUGGGGCUAAUACCGGAUAGGAGCUCCUGCUGCAUGGUGGGGGUUGGAAAGUUUCGGCGGUUGGGGAUGGACUCGCGGCUUAUCAGCUUGUUGGUGGGGUAGUGGCUUACCAAGGCUUUGACGGGUAGCCGGCCUGAGAGGGUGACCGGCCACAUUGGGACUGAGAUGCGGCCCAGACUCCUACGGGAGGCAGCAGUGGGGAAUAUUGCACAAUGGGCGGAAGCCUGAUGCAGCAACGCCGCGUGCGGGAUGACGGCCUUCGGGUUGUAAACCGCUUUCGCCUGUGACGAAGCGUGAGUGACGGUAAUGGGUAAAGAAGCACCGGCUAACUACGUG
This 467-nucleotide ribosomal RNA is filed under the name uncultured bacterium. Its description in RNAcentral is "partial 16S ribosomal RNA". It matches the Rfam family "Bacterial small subunit ribosomal RNA", at positions 29 to 507 of the family's 1533-position model. The record is from RNAcentral.